Long non-coding RNA from Clupea harengus (Atlantic herring), 3491 nucleotides. The record is from Ensembl. NCBI's taxonomy places the organism in Eukaryota, Metazoa, Chordata, Actinopteri, Clupeiformes, Clupeidae.
UAAUGAGGUAGAGGAGAGCCGUGGAGAGGAAGAGGAGGGCGAGGAGGAGAAAGAGAGCGGAGAAGAGGAAGAGGAGGCAAGCAAAGUUGAGGAAGAGGAGGAGGAGCAGAUGGAAGCGAAAGAAAGUGGAGAAAAUUCCUCCGAGAAGGAGGAGGAGGAGGGUGAAGAGAAAGAGGGAGAGAUGGAGAGUGGCGGAGAGGAAGAGGAAAAUGGGGAUGAAGAAAAGAGUGAGGGAGCGUCAGAGGAAGAGGAGGAGGAGGAGAAUAAACAGAAUGAGGAAGAAGGCGAGGACGGAGGGAAAGAAGAGGGGGAAGGUGAGGAAGAAGAGGGGGAAGAAGAGAGCAAAGAAAAGGGAGAGGAAGAAGAACAGAAUCAUGAAGAGGAAGAGGAAGGAGAAGAGGCAGAAGAAAAGGGAGAGGAAGAAGAACAGAAUCAUGAAGAGGAGGGAGAAGAGGCAGAAGAAAAGGGGGAGGAAGAAGAACAGAAUCAUGAAGAGGAAGAGGAAGGAGAAGAGGCAGAAGAAAAGGGAGAGGAAGAAGAAGAGAAUCAUGAAGAGGAAGAGGAAGGAGAAGAGGCAGAAGAAAAGGGAGAGGAAGAAGAAGAGAAUCAUGAAGAGGAAGGAGAAGAGGCAGAAGAAAGGGGGGAGGAAGAGGGAAAAGAUGAAGGAGAGGGGGAGGAGGAGGAAACAAUAGAGCAAAAAGACGAGGAAAGGAAAGAGAGCGAAGGAGAGGCUGAAGAAGAAGUCCAAGAAAAGGAGGACACGAUGGAAAGAGAUGGAAAAGGAGAUGUGGGAGUAACGGAAGCAGAGGAUGAAGAGAGGGAUGGAGAGAUGGAGGGAAGGGCGGAAGAUGGUAACGAGGAGAAAGGUGGAGAAGAGGAACGAGGGAUGGAGAAGGACGAGUGGGAAGAUCAGACAGAGGGAGAGGAGGAACAGUCUAAAACAGGAGGAGAGAAGACGGAAGAGAGGGAUGCAGGGAAGAGAAAGAAGGAGCAGGAAGAGCUGGAACCCAAACAGACAGACAUCAGCAGAGCGACAGGAGGCACCAGAGAUGACCGGAAACUAAAGAAAGGCAAAGCUGUGGAGAAGGAAGAAGAGGAGGAGGAGGAGGAGAAGAAGGAGGAGGAGAAGGAGAAGGAGGGAGAGGGGGAGGAGGAACGAGUAAAGCCAAUGACAACCACCAAAGAGCAAGAGAAACCAAAGCAGAAGCAGAAGACAGAGCAAAAGAAAAGACAGACAGAAGAAAAGAAAGAGAGUGAGGAGGAGGAGGAGGAGGGAGAUGAUGAUGAUGAUGAAGAUAAGGAUGAGGAUGAAGAAGAAGUCAAACCUAAACAAAGAACCAAAGAACAGGCGAAACAAAAGCCGAGAGGAAAAGAAGAAAAGAAAGAAGAAAAGAAGUCAAAGAAAGAAGAAAAGAAAGAGAGUGGAGAGGAAGAUGAAGAGGAAGAAUCUGAGGAGGAGGAGAAGGAGGAAGUCAAACCUAAACAUAAAGCCAAGGAACAGGUGAGACAAAAGCAGAGAGGAAAAGAACAAAAGAAAGAAGGAAAGAAACUUAAACAAAUCCAAAAGAAAGAAGACAGUGAAGAUGAAGACGAGGAGUCUGAGGAGGAAUCUGAGGAGGAGGAGUCUGAGGAGGAGGAGGAGUCUGAGGAGGAGGAGUCUGAAGAGGAGGAGGAGUCUGAAGAGGAGGAGCCAGUGAAGAUUCAAAGGCAAGGAGGCAAACUGCUAAGAAAGCCACAGAAAGGACAAAAGAAAGACAGUGAAGAGGAGGAGGAGUCGGAGGAGGAGUCGUCGGAGGAAUCUGACGAAGAGGAGGAGGAGGAGGAGGAGGAGAAACCAGUGAAAAUGAAGCGAAAUGUUAAAGAGCAGAAGAAACCAAAGCAGGGACUGAAGGACAAGAAGACGCCAACGAAAGGAAGGGCCACAGAAAGUGAGGAUGAUGAUGAUGAUGAUGAUGAUGAAGAAGAAGAGGAAGAGGAGGAGAAACCAGCGAAACUGAAGCGAAAUGUUAAAGAGCAGAAGAAACCAAAGCAGGGACUGAAGGACAAGAAGAAGCCAACGAAAGGAAGGGCAUCAGAAAGUGAGGAUGAUGAUGAUGAUGAUGAUGAAGAAGAGGAGGAAGAGGAGGAAGAACAAGAGGAAUCUGAGGAAGAGGAGGAGGAGGAGGAGAAGCCUAGGAAAGGAAAGACUAAACCAAAAGCAGCACCUUCAGGCAGACAGACAGACAAACAGACAGGUAGACAGACAGGCAAACAGACAGACAGACAGACAGACAAACAGACAGGUAGACAGACAGCUGCAGGUAAACAGCGCGCUACUAAUGGAGCCCCUGACUCCGAGGGCUUCUGGAAUGAUGUCUUACCCCAGUACUUAGACCUCAGAUAGACACACACACACACACACACACACACACACACACACACACACACACACACAUACAUACUAACUCACACAUGGUGAGAGAAAAAUACAUGCACACAGACAGACUGAUGUCUAACAUGUAUGUGUACACACCCUCAUACUCUUGCAUACACACACACACACACACACACACACACACACACACACACACACACACACACACACACACACACACACACACACAAGUAAUCAAGCACAUUUAAUAGGCAGAGUAGCUGUUUCAUCACUGUGGUAUCAGACGGUCCAGUGUGCCUUGGUUUGUGAAAUCAUUUAACUAGAGUUUAAAGGUGUCUGUUUUAACUUCUCUUUAUCUCUCGUUUAGAGGUGCCAGUUCUAGCUUAUCUCUAACUCCUCCCACUGUUCUGCUAUGGUUCUACGUUCCUUCAGUGUCUACCAGAGAGUUCUAAGAGUUCCAAUAGAGCUCACUGGAUGUUCUAUGCGGAGCUAAGCACACAGUCUAUAUGUGAUGUUCAAGCGCUGGAUGUCCUUAGAUGCUCUUUCUGAAAGGCUGCUCAGUGCAGUAAGUCUAUUUAUUGCACAUGGACUGAACGUUUAAAGGAAUAAGUAAUGUUCUGUCAUUCUGUAUAAAUGUGAAUUAAAAACAGAUGAUGGUGACCUGGCAUUUCUCCUUGUAACUAUUCCUCACCCUAUCAUUAAAACACACACACACACUCACACACACACACACACACACACACACACACACACACACACACACACACACAUUCAUAUGAGUCACUGUACAGUUUGUCAUGCUGCCCACAGAUCCCCACCUACACACACACACACACACACACACACACACACACACACAUGCACAUUUCCACAUACACACACAUGCACAUUUGCACAAACACAAAUACCUUUCACUUUCUCAAUUCACCGUUGCACCAUCACCAAGCUCAGAGAAGCAGUCUACCUCAGGGAAAGCCCUUGCGGUCACCGUAAAAACACGUAAGUACAGCCCUCACAGUCACCAUGACAACAGAUAAGUACAGUCCUCGCAGUCACCGUAACAACACAUAAGUACAGCCCUCGCAGUCACCGUAACAACAGGUAAGUACAGCCCAGC